ACCGGGCUCGGUAGCGUGGGCUUGUAACUCAAGCGAGGGUACACAAGGUGGUUGAACUGUGAUUUGGCUCUCUUGGGUGGGCUGGUUGCGCUUGAUUCGAUGUGUCCUUUCCAAGCCAGGAGUCGGCUUUGCUCCUCUAACCGAAGGUUUAGGGUGGGCUCGGACUUAGAAUGGAGGAGAAUGCGUGAGGCUGGUUUCACAGAGCAGCGAUUACCUCCUCCUCUUGGCAGUGGAAGGAUAACACAUUGGUGCGUGGACUGCCCAAUCAAACUCUAGAGCUCCAUACUCAUAUGGACAACCAUUUUU
This 306-nucleotide signal recognition particle RNA is filed under the name Amborella trichopoda. Its description in RNAcentral is "SRP RNA Plant_SRP". It matches the Rfam family "Plant signal recognition particle RNA". The record is from Rfam by way of RNAcentral. Lineage: Eukaryota; Viridiplantae; Streptophyta; Magnoliopsida; Amborellales; Amborellaceae.